This 1745-nucleotide long non-coding RNA is filed under the name Coffea arabica (coffee). RNAcentral's name for it is "long non-coding RNA (CARA_LNC001419)". Lineage: Eukaryota; Viridiplantae; Streptophyta; Magnoliopsida; Gentianales; Rubiaceae. The record is from RNAcentral.
AUUUGUAUUGCUUAUGUCAAAAAUAUGUACAAUCUAAACAAAAACUCAAGGAUACUUUACAAGUUGUGCAACUUAGCACAAUGGAACUGGAUAAGUCCAUUCUGCAUCUUGAUUUCUUGUGACGAUCUAACCUCCCCUAGGACUUAUUUCAGGGUUUAGUGGACUGCCUGUCCAAUUCUCGCCAGGAUUCGAUCACUCUUAACAAAUAAAAUAAGAUAUAACCUCAAGAAUAAGUGAAAUAACAGUUCACAAACUUGGAAUGUGUACUUACAUUCAUAUCUUUCCCACACAUACGCAAAUUAUUAAAUGUAACGCUUCCCUGAUUUCUAUAUCUGAUUACUUGUUUGGAAAUCUCACUAAGUUUUUAACUCAUUCCACGACAUUUGUUUUUCUUACCGGGGAUACAAGUAAGGUGUGAGACUGGUACAGGCUAAUAUAGUUUAAUUUUUGAAAAUUUGCAAAUGUACUCGCGCUAGUGCUCGGUUAGGGUUGAAUGUAUCUCGAAUUCACAACUUUUGUUAUAUUUGGGAUUGUAUGAAUGUAUGGGAAAGAUAUGAAUGUAAGUACACGUUCCAAGUUUGGGAUCUGUUAUUUCACUUAUUCUUGAGGUUAUAUAUUAUUUUAUUUGUUAAGAGUGAUCGAGUUCUGGUGAGAGUUGGGCAGGCGGUCCGCCAAAUUUUGGGGUACGCCCUAGGGGGAGGUGGGGUCGUCACAUUUCUGCUCAAAGCUUGAGUACUAAUAAUGUAACUUAAAUCCGUAUUUUCUAUUCCUAUCAAACAAAAGGAGCACAUUCGAAACAAAAUACUCAGUGCUUGUAUAUUUUCCAGCAACGUAGCCACCCAGUUGUUCCUGUUCGCAUUCCUUUGCAGUUGAUUCAGCAGCUCCUUACUGGUUGUUUCAACAGUAAUCACGGUCCAUUCCUGUUGCAAGGCUUUAAUUAAUGCCACAGGGUUUUCAAUUAACAGUUAUUCAUUUGACGUUCAUACAAGGGGAAAAAAGAAAUCAUAGGUGUUAAGUUUAUAAAUAUGUGAAAUUAAUUUGAGAAAAUAUCUAAGGACGAAGAGAUAAUAAAGGUGUUUUUUUUUUGUGUUUGUAUAAAAUUUGAUUGUAACUUACUAUAGAAUUUGUAAAAAAAAAAAAAAAAAACUUUUGUGUAUUUAGGAUUUGGAAAAUUUAAAAACUUUCUAUUUUUUCUAUUUGGAAGUGUGUUUUUAAGGAAUUUAUAUUAGACAAAUUUUAUCUACACUAAUCAGAAAAACACCCCAAAAUCUUCAAAAUACACAAAAUAUUAAAAGCGUACACACUAUCUUUCUCUUCUAUCACUACCCUCCCGCCUCAUCCUGCUGCGGCCACCUUCCUACCGUUGUUGGUGCCGAUCAUCCAUUUUUUCUCCCCUUCUUCCUUCUUUUCUCGCCACCCUUCUCGCUGACCUUGCCCUCCGCCUCCUCUCGCAAACCUUAUCUCGUCCUACUCCCUUCCUCUUUCCUCUCUAUUCUAAACCUAAUGAUGUAUACUCGGGUGAGAGAGAAAGGGUGGCAGGGGGAAGGGGAAAGAGGAGAAGGGGAAGAGGAGAGGAAGAGGUAGAAAAAAGGGAAAGAGUGAGGAGAAGAGGGAGGAAGAAAGAAAAAAAAAAGGAAGGGUGAGGUGGCAGCAGCGACAAUAAUGGAGGUUGAUGAUGGUGGGUGGAGAUGGAGAUUGAUGAGAUAGAAGUAACAACGAUGAAAGUGAAACCAGUAAGGAAGUGU